ACAUGGGAUUGGAGAGUGACCU
Molecule: microRNA, 22 nt
Filed under: Cavia porcellus (domestic guinea pig)
Lineage: Eukaryota; Metazoa; Chordata; Mammalia; Rodentia; Caviidae
Description: cpo-miR-12079-3p
Source: miRBase by way of RNAcentral